AUUGAACGCUGGCGGCAUGCUUUACACAUGCAAGUCGAACGGUAACAGGCCUUCGGGUGCUGACGAGUGGCGAACGGGUGAGUAAUGCAUCGGAACGUGCCCAGAGGUGGGGGAUAACGCAGCGAAAGCUGUGCUAAUGCCGCAUGUGAUCUGAGGAUGAAAGCGGGGGACCAAGCAGCAAUGUUUGGCCUCGCGCCUCUGGAGCGGCCGAUGUCAGAUUAGGUAGUUGGUGGGGUAAAGGCCUACCAAGCCGACGAUCUGUAGCUGGUCUGAGAGGACGACCAGCCACACUGGGACUGAGACACGGCCCAGACUCCUACGGGAGGCAGCAGUGGGGAAUUUUGGACAAUGGGCGCAAGCCUGAUCCAGCAAUGCCGCGUGCGGGAAGAAGGCCUUCGGGUUGUAAACCGCUUUUGUACGGAACGAAAAGGCUCUGGCUAAUACCUGGGGCUGAUGACGGUACCGUAAGAAUAAGCACCGGCUAACUACGUG
RNAcentral lists this ribosomal RNA (492 nucleotides) under uncultured bacterium. Its description in RNAcentral is "partial 16S ribosomal RNA". It matches the Rfam family "Bacterial small subunit ribosomal RNA", at positions 30 to 507 of the family's 1533-position model. The record is from RNAcentral.